This 448-nucleotide ribosomal RNA is filed under the name Streptococcus mitis. RNAcentral's name for it is "bacterial SSU rRNA". It matches the Rfam family "Bacterial small subunit ribosomal RNA", at positions 28 to 464 of the family's 1533-position model. The record is from RNAcentral. Lineage: Bacteria; Bacillati; Bacillota; Bacilli; Lactobacillales; Streptococcaceae.
GACGAACGCUGGCGGCGUGCCUAAUACAUGCAAGUAGAACGCUGAAGGAGGAGCUUGCUUCUCUGGAUGAGUUGCGAACGGGUGAGUAACGCGUAGGUAACCUGCCUGGUAGCGGGGGAUAACUAUUGGGAACGAUAGCUAAUACCGCAUAAGAGUAGAUGUUGCAUGACAUUUGCUUAAAAGGUGCAAUUGCAUCACUACCAGAUGGACCUGCGUUGUAUUAGCUAGUUGGUGAGGUAACGGCUCACCAAGGCAACGAUACAUAGCCGACCUGAGAGGGUGAUCGGCCACACUGGGACUGAGACACGGCCCAGACUCCUACGGGAGGCAGCAGUAGGGAAUCUUCGGCAAUGGACGGAAGUCUGACCGAGCAACGCCGCGUGAGUGAAGAAGGUUUUCGGAUCGUAAAAGCUCUGUUGUAAAGAGAAAGAAACGAAGUGUGAAGAAG